Molecule: ribosomal RNA, 292 nt
Filed under: uncultured bacterium
Lineage: Bacteria
Description: partial 16S ribosomal RNA
Rfam family: Bacterial small subunit ribosomal RNA
Source: RNAcentral
GUGUCAGCAGCCGCGGUAAUACGAAGGGGACUAGCGUUGUUCGGAUUUACUGGGCGUAAAGCGCGCGUAGGCGGAUCGCUAAGUCAGGGGUGAAAUCCCAAGGCUCAACCUUGGAACUGCCUUUGAUACUGACGAUCUGGAGAUUGGGAGAGGUGAGUGGAAUUCCGAGUGUAGAGGUGAAAUUCGUAGAUAUUCGGAGGAACACCAGAAGCGAAGGCGGCUCACUGGCCCAAUACUGACGCUGAGGCGCGAAAGCGUGGGGAGCAAACAGGAUUAGAAACCCGCGUAGUCC